GUGUCGAUCACACUGGGAGCUGCAGACCGGAGCUGUUCGUAUUCGGCCAUCUUGGAAGCCCAGCAAAGACAGAGAGAAGAUAUUCCUGAUCUGACUCAUAGGGGACCUCAUAGAAUUCUGCCAACUAACUCAAGUGGUGGUCACAGGUUGGCAGCAUCUUCCGACUGAGAUGUGCAAUCUAAUCUAGAGUGGGAAGGAUUCCUUUAAACAGAAUUGAAGAAGGAAGAACCUAUACUAGAAGUGAAUAAUAAUAGCCCAAGCAGAGUGCUAAGGGGAGAGUGCUGGAACCUAUAAGAAAGUUAAUUGGAAGGAUCUAUGAUACACACAGAAAGAAAGUAAGAAGAAGCUGGCAAAGAUCAAACCCUGAGAGACUUCGUAUUCUGUGGAAAAGACAGAUUCUUCAGUGAUAUUCCAGAAGAAGGCAUUGUUAUUAUACAAGAAGAAAGCUCCACAAAUGUGAUUACCCCUGAAGAUCUUCUUGUGGGACAAGAUGUGAAGAGGGAAGGCAGUUAUAUUGAAUAUCUUGAACCUGUGUAGGCCUAAACUACUAUGUGU
RNAcentral lists this long non-coding RNA (555 nucleotides) under Homo sapiens (human). RNAcentral's name for it is "novel transcript". The record is from RNAcentral. Lineage: Eukaryota; Metazoa; Chordata; Mammalia; Primates; Hominidae.